This 645-nucleotide ribosomal RNA is filed under the name Clostridium sporogenes. Its description in RNAcentral is "partial 23S ribosomal RNA". It matches the Rfam family "Bacterial large subunit ribosomal RNA", at positions 1 to 645 of the family's 2925-position model. Lineage: Bacteria; Bacillati; Bacillota; Clostridia; Eubacteriales; Clostridiaceae. The record is from RNAcentral.
AAUUUUAAGGUCAAGCUACAAAGGGCGCAUGGUGAAUGCCUUGGCACUAGGAGCCGAAGAAGGACGCGAUAAGCUGCGAUAAGCCUUGGGUAGCCGCAAAUAGGCUGAGAUCCAGGGAUUUCCGAAUGAGGAAACUCACAUGGGUAACCCCAUGUAUCAUGCACUGAAUACAUAGGUGUAUGAGGGUAAACCCGGGGAACUGAAACAUCUAAGUACCCGGAGGAAGAGAAAGAAAAAUCGAUUUCCUAAGUAGCGGCGAGCGAACGGGAAAGAGCCCAAACCAGAAACUUGUUUCUGGGGUUGUGGAUAGAUCAUAAAAGAAGAGGUAUCUUAAUCGAAGAGGGCUGGAACGCCCUACCAUAGAAGGUAAUAGUCCUGUAGGUAAAAAGAGAAAACUUCGAGAUCUAAUCCAGAGUACCACGAGACACGUGAAACCUUGUGGGAAGCAGGGAGGACCACCUCCCAAGGCUAAAUACUACCUAGUGACCGAUAGUGAAGCAGUACCGUGAGGGAAAGGUGAAAAGAACCCCGGAAGGGGAGUGAAAUAGAACCUGAAACCGUGUGCCUACAACCGAUCGGAGCACGUUAAAGUGUGACGAUGUGCUUUUUGUAGAACGAGCCAGCGAGUUACGCUAUGUAGCAAGG